UACGUAGGUGGCAAGCGUUGUCCGGAAUUAUUGGGCGUAAAGCGCGCGCAGGUGGGAUAUUAAGUCUGGUGUUAAAGUUCGGGGCUCAACCCCGUGAAGCAUUUGGAAACUGAUAUUCUUGAGUGCAGGAGAGGAAAGUGGAAUUCCUAGUGUAGCGGUGAAAUGCGUAGAUAUUAGGAGGAACACCAGUGGCGAAGGCGACUUUCUGGACUGUGUCUGACACUGAGGCGCGAAAGCUAGGGUAGUGAACAGG
RNAcentral lists this ribosomal RNA (253 nucleotides) under uncultured bacterium. RNAcentral describes it as "partial 16S ribosomal RNA". It matches the Rfam family "Bacterial small subunit ribosomal RNA", at positions 524 to 776 of the family's 1533-position model. The record is from RNAcentral.